UUGUGGAUUUACUGUAUUCUCUACCUGUAUUACAUGGACACCUACAUGCCUCUCUAGUGUCUGUUUAAAGGGUUAAUUAGUAGCUGUAUUGCAAAGUGAAUUUGUGUGAUAAAUUGGAGUCAUGUCACAAUAGCAAAACUUGGCAGGUAAAUUGUCAUGUGGUUAAUAUCAGAUGAGAAAUUAACUAAUGUUAGCGAAAAAAAGUUGCAUGGCAGUAUUUUGAAAGGGUCUUGUUAAAAGAGGGAAAAAUUGUAUUCAAAUGGUAUUCAUCACAGACUUGAAAUGUAAUAUUUUGUUCUUUCAAGGACCAGCGAUGAGUUGAGUGCAGAUGUAGAAUCUUCAAGAAGAAUUGAAUAUGAUGGCCUAAGACGGGGAAACUACAGGAGGAAAUGGCUAAAGAAAGUUUCUCUAAAGAAUGAUACAUGUGCAAUAUGCUUGGAUGAUUUUCAAAACAAGGAGGAAAUCAGCAUUUGUAGAUGUGGACAUGCUUAUCAUCACAAAUGUAUUAUGAAGUGGAUGGAAAUUAAAGAAACAUGCCCCAUAUGUCAGCGUAACUGCAGGCAUGAAAAUGAAAACGGAAAUGCCAAUGGAGGGGAGAGAACACCAUUGCUGACAAAUCCUUUAGAGCUGUGAGAGAUACAGCGCAGCACAGAGUUUUAAACAGUUUGAAUAAAAUGUCACAAGGAAUGGACUGAUGAAUCAGCUCAACGGAGUGUGUUUGAAUAAACAGUUGCUGACUUUAUUACACAUUAUGCCUGCGGCUGGAAAAGCAAGAUUCUUUACCUCAGAGUACAAAUGUCUCUGCGGAUAUUUUAUUGAGUAAUUAAUUGAUAAUAUGCUUCUUGUUUUUAUCUUACGAUUCAUUCAACAGCUUUUAUCAAGAGCUUUUGCGUGACUGUGCAAACAUUUAUUUUUUCCAUAAUGGGAAGCAUCAUUUGGCAAAAAUAGGCAAAGUGACAUAAUGUCAUGGAAAGUUCCAGUUUGAGUCAGAUUUUAAUUUUAUUCCUGAAUGUCAAUUUUUUUAUUAUUUAAAUUAUUGUAAAAAGUAGAUUUACACAUAUGUAGUGGGGAUUUAAAACUGGGGUGUUUUCAACUGUUAGAUUUCUCGGCUGUGUUAUGUAGUCUUACUCCAUCAACUUAUGUAAGUGUCAAUUGCUUUCUACACUUAGGGAAGAAACUAAAUGACAACUUGGCACCGCUACCAGUUUAAGCUUGAUGAUACCCUUAAUCAUGGGUGAAGGCAAAUCAGCCUACAGUCGAACCUCUUCUUACAGCCAGCCUCACCCAAUGGACACUUUUAUAUUGCAGCCAGGUCACACUUUCUUCCAGAGUAACUACAUCUCACAUAUAAUUUCUACCUCCACAAUACUGACACUCAGGAGAGCUCCUUUUGUGACCGUAUUGAGGAGGUUCAACUGCAUUACCGUGUUUAUCUUUUGUUAGCUGUAGGUUAUGUUACAGUAACUUGUUAACCUGUGUAGAUCCGUUCACUCUCCUUAAGAUCUUGUUGAGUUGGUCAGUCAUUAGGAUCUUUAGAUUGGACUAACAGUACAAGAACGAUUUACAAAUUUCAAAUCAGUGAUCUUUCCAGAGCCCUUGCUCCUCGUGUUAGUUUCAAGUUGAGAGGGUCGCUCAUGGGAUGAGAUGGGUAUGUGACGUGAAAAUGUGAAGUCUGCAAACUAGAAUUGAGAAGUCGCACUCUUACUCAAACUUUAAGUCCCCUGAUAUUAUUACGGCAUGGUCUAAACUGUUGAUCGAGUACUUGUGUUAGACUGUUUCUUACAUUUCGCCGUGUUAGAGCUGAAAAACAGGUUCAUUAGGUUAUUUACAAGUAGUAGUUUAUCCAAUGGCGUUUGGUUCACGUGAUAAGUUAUAAAGCCAAUCACAAAGCCAUCUACAGCAGCCAAUCAGAAAACAGGUGUAAUCUGAUUGGCCAAGACAACGUAGGCAACAAAAUUUGGUGUUGGCUUUGCAUCUGUUGGCGGUGAGAGUAGAUAGUAAUACAAUUUAUUUUGAUUGGCUGGUAAACAAAUAAAAGCGUAGAAAUAGGCCAAUUUAGGGAAAACCAGCGGCCUAUCUGUUACGUUUUAGCCAGAUAUUGUGAAUACAUUUUACCAUAGGCAGCGUUUAAUGAAUUUCUUUUGUAAAUAUAAGUCUUACCAUGCGUUUCGUUAUGACGAUGGAACACGGUAUUUAAUAAACUGAACAGGAGAAUCGUA
Long non-coding RNA from Orbicella faveolata, 2219 nucleotides. Lineage: Eukaryota; Metazoa; Cnidaria; Anthozoa; Scleractinia; Merulinidae. The record is from RefSeq and is a predicted model, not a curated record.